This is a non-coding RNA of Oryza nivara, 208 nucleotides long. Lineage: Eukaryota; Viridiplantae; Streptophyta; Magnoliopsida; Poales; Poaceae. The record is from Rfam.
AAUAAGUACAGUUUUGCACUAUUCACGUUCAACGUUUGACCGUCCGUCUUAUUUGAAAAUUUUUUAUGAUUAGUAUUUUUAUUGAUAUUAGAUGAUAAAAUAUGAAUAGUACUUUAUGUGUGACUAAAUGUUUUAAUUUUUUCACAAAUUUUUCAAAUAAGACGGACGGUCAAUCGUUGAAUGUGAAUAGUGCAAAACUGCACUUAUU